CGUGAAAAAUAAUCAACUUUCUUGUUUGCAUUAAUUUAGAAUAUAGUGCCAUUUUCUUUCCCAUUUAUUAUUUUUACUCAAAAACACUUAAAUGCAAAAUUCCUAACAACAUAGAAGAGCAGAAGCUAAAAUGUAAAUUUAAUGAAGGCAAAUAAAAUAAUGCUGGCUGUUAAAAAAAAGCUGGGAGAGAAAACGCCAAAUUUUAUAGUGCACUACAUUCUAUAAAAUAGAACCUAACUGAAAUUGACAUCACUUCCUCUGGC
RNAcentral lists this long non-coding RNA (263 nucleotides) under Bos taurus (domestic cattle). RNAcentral describes it as "long non-coding RNA NONBTAT021858". Lineage: Eukaryota; Metazoa; Chordata; Mammalia; Artiodactyla; Bovidae. The record is from RNAcentral.